GGGCAUCCUACCUGCUGGUAUGAGGUGUUACAUUAUCACAUCUCAUCCUUCGAUUAAUUGAGUUGUGAAGCCAAUUGGAUUGAAGUUCAUCCUGCUUUCCUGCGACGUCUGAUGUGCUUGCGAAGUAGAAGGUCUGUAUAUACAGACCUCCGUGAAGGUUUAUAUCAGAUAAUUUGGGAUUGGAUUUCUGGUUUCACUAUGAUUCAGGUAAGGAUCUGAUCAUUAAACAAGUAGAAUAUUAGAAAAAAUUUUUAGAUGCAAUCUGAGCAUUCUGGAAGAAAACUGUUCCCUUCCCUUCAGCUAGCACAUGAAUUAACCCAAGUUCCCAAUUGGAUU
This 336-nucleotide long non-coding RNA is filed under the name Elaeis guineensis (African oil palm). RNAcentral's name for it is "long non-coding RNA (EGUI_LNC053738)". Lineage: Eukaryota; Viridiplantae; Streptophyta; Magnoliopsida; Arecales; Arecaceae. The record is from RNAcentral.